CAUAUUUCAGACGUAGUUUUUCACACAAUGCUGUUUUUAUUUACGUAGAAAUUCUUAUGUAUUAACUGGAUUUAAAAGCGUAUUAUAAAAUUGAUUAUUCAUCGCCCAACAUUUCCGCACAUCAUUUAUCUAUCCCCUCCCCCAAAAUUUGACCAUCCAUUCAUUUCUACCUAAAGUUUGGAAAGACCCUAACAGUUAAGUACCUAAUCGGUGAAAGUUCAGUAUUAGUGAAAUAACACGCGGCAAGAAUAUAAUUUAAAAAUGCUUUAUAAUAAAUCGGUGAAACUGACCUCUGGUGAAAUUAUAUAUAAAGAGUUUCUAAUUAAGAACCAAAAGGAGCUGCUUUACAAUAUAAACCAGUCUAUAAGAAGUAUCGAAGAAAAGAUAGAUCAGGAAGAAGAUGACGCUUUGGCAUAUUUUGACUAUAUUAACAGAGAAUACCCUUCAGACGAUGAAUAUGAAGAAGUCUCGUACUACCGUAAAGCUGUAAUCAAGAAAAUUGCUGAUUGUUUGAAUAGAGAAAUAAAUCCCCUAAUUGAAAAAAAACAAGAGCUGGAGGAUAUUAAAAACAUGUUACAAAUUAGGCUGCGCAUUCUUCGACAUGAGGCUGCCAAUCAACGAAAAUGAAAGUUGAUUACGUGUACCAGAUCUUUGCCAAGCAUCUUCUUAAAUUAAGUUCGAAUUUUUAAAUUUUGUCACAUAAAUAAAAUGAAAUCAAAUAGGUUUUUUGU
This is a long non-coding RNA of Anthonomus grandis grandis, 731 nucleotides long. RefSeq lists it as uncharacterized. The record is from RefSeq and is a predicted model, not a curated record. NCBI's taxonomy places the organism in Eukaryota, Metazoa, Arthropoda, Insecta, Coleoptera, Curculionidae. The transcript is spliced from 4 exons.